This 466-nucleotide ribosomal RNA is filed under the name uncultured bacterium. RNAcentral's name for it is "bacterial SSU rRNA". It matches the Rfam family "Bacterial small subunit ribosomal RNA", at positions 329 to 792 of the family's 1533-position model. The record is from RNAcentral.
UGCCAGACUCCUACGGGAGGCAGCAGUGAGGAAUAUUGGUCAAUGGCCGGAAGGCUGAACCAGCCAAGCCGCGUGAAGGACGAAGGUGCCAAGCAUUGUAAACUUCUUUUGUCAAGGGACAAAAUCAGGCUCGAGAGCCUGACCGAGGGUACUUGAAGAAAAAGCACCGGCUAACUCCGUGCCAGCAGCCGCGGUAAUACGGGGGGUGCAAGCGUUGUCCGGAAUCAUUGGGCGUAAAGAGUUCGUAGGCGGCACGUAAAGUCUGGUGUUAAAGGCAGAGGCUCAACUUCUGUACGGCACUGGAUACUUGCGAGCUAGAAUGCGGUAGAGGUAAAGGGAAUUCCUGGUGUAGCGGUGAAAUGCUUAGAUAUCAGGAGGAACAUCGGUGGCGUAAGCGCUUUACUGGGCCGUAAUUGACGCUGAGGAACGAAAGCCAGGGUAGCAAAUGGGAUUAGAUACCCCAGUA